This 159-nucleotide unclassified non-coding RNA is filed under the name uncultured Helotiales. RNAcentral's name for it is "sequence contains ITS1". Lineage: Eukaryota; Fungi; Ascomycota; Leotiomycetes; Helotiales. The record is from RNAcentral.
ACAGGAUGGACCCGGCUCGCCGGUGCUCUGCCUACCUUGCAUAAUCUACCUUUGUUGCUUUGGCGGGGCGCCUCACGGCCAGCGGCUCCGGCUGCUGCGCCCCCGCCAGAGGACCCCAACUCUUGUUUUUAGUGACGUCUGAGUACUAUAUAAUAGUUA